Molecule: ribosomal RNA, 502 nt
Filed under: uncultured bacterium
Lineage: Bacteria
Description: partial 16S ribosomal RNA
Rfam family: Bacterial small subunit ribosomal RNA
Source: RNAcentral
AUUGAACGCUGGCGGCAUGCUUGACACAUGCAAGUCGAACGGCAGCACAGUAUGUAGCAAUACAUAUGGGUGGCGAGUGGCGGACGGGUGAGUAACGCGUAGGAAUCUGCCUUGAAGAGGGGGACAACCCGAGGAAACUCGGGCUAAUACCGCAUAAUAUCGAGAGAUUAAAGUUGGGGCAACCUGACACUUUGAGAGGAGCCUGCGUCCGAUUAGCUAGUUGGUAGGAUAAAAGCCUACCAAGGCGAUGAUCGGUAGCUGGUCUGAGAGGACGACCAGCCACACCGGAACUGAGACACGGUCCAGACUCCUACGGGAGGCAGCAGUGGGGAAUUUUGGACAAUGGGCGAAAGCCUGAUCCAGCCAUUCCGCGUGAGUGAAGAAGGCCUUCGGGUUGUAAAGCUCUUUCGCAAGGAAAGAAAACUUACUUACUAAUACUAGGUGAGGUUGACGGUACCUUGAUAAGAAGCACCGGCUAACUACGUGCCAGCCGCCGCCGUAA